Molecule: ribosomal RNA, 518 nt
Filed under: uncultured Diversispora
Lineage: Eukaryota; Fungi; Glomeromycota; Glomeromycetes; Diversisporales; Diversisporaceae
Description: SSU rRNA
Rfam family: Eukaryotic small subunit ribosomal RNA
Source: RNAcentral
AGCAGCCGCGGUAAUUCCAGCUCCAAUAGCGUAUAUUAAAGUUGUUGCAGUUAAAAAGCUCGUAGUUGAACUUCGGGGUUUACCCAUUGGUCAGGCUUAAUUGUCUGUACUGGUGAGAUGAAUCUCUACCUUCUGAGGAACUUUCAUGCCAUUUAUUUGGUGUGAUGGGAAAUCAGGACUGUUACUUUGAAAAAAUUAGAGUGUUUAAAGCAGGCUAACGUCUGAAUACAUUAGCAUGGAAUAAUGAAAUAGGACGGAUUGAUUCUAUUUCGUUGGUUUCUAGGAUCACCGUAAUGAUUAAUAGGGAUAGUUGGGGGCAUUAGUAUUCAAUUGUCAGAGGUGAAAUUCUUGGAUUUAUUGAAGACUAACUACUGCGAAAGCAUUUGCCAAGGAUGUUUUCAUUAAUCAAGAACGAAAGUUAGGGGAUCGAAGACGAUCAGAUACCGUCGUAGUCUUAACCNUAAAACUAUAGCCGACUAGGGGAUCGGACGAAGUUAAUUUUAUAAUGACGCGUUCGC